RNAcentral lists this long non-coding RNA (440 nucleotides) under Setaria italica (foxtail millet). RNAcentral's name for it is "long non-coding RNA (SITA_LNC000799)". The record is from RNAcentral. Lineage: Eukaryota; Viridiplantae; Streptophyta; Magnoliopsida; Poales; Poaceae.
CUCGGUCCAGGCAGAGGAGGACAAUUCCACUGCCUGAUAUCGAUUUCCAUCGUCAGUCUUCACCAGGUAUUUAUCCAUACUCUGAAAAUUCCAACUCCAAUCUGAGUCAAUAUUCUCCAUGCACGCUCAUCAAUAUUCCCAACUAAUUCAAUAAUAACUAAAAAAAUUUCUUCAUCUGAGUCACCACGUUUAUGUUUGAUUCUACUUCCAUCCCUUAUUGUCAACUGAUUCUCUUCUCUGAAAUCACCAUCACCUAAGAAGAAAAGUGAUCAGGCACCCUUUCAUCUCUGCAGACAUGCUUGACAAGCGUAGUCUUUCCAACUGUUCCUGGACAAACAGUUGGUAGGAUGCCAAAAUUGCAAUGGACAGGAGGUUCUUCAUGCAGGAAGAAGUUGACGAUCCGUUCCAUUUCCAUCUGGCGGCCAAACAUGUACUUCUCC